UAAAAGACCUAUUAAUAGGUAUGCUUAGGGAGGAGCUUGCGUCACAUUAGUUAGUUGGUGGGGUAAAGGCCUACCAAGACUAUGAUGUGUAGCCGGGCUGAGAGGUUGAACGGCCACAUUGGGACUGAGACACGGCCCAAACUCCUACGGGAGGCAGCAGUAGGGAAUUUUCGGCAAUGGAGGAAACUCUGACCGAGCAAUGCCGCGUGAACGAUGAAGUAUUUCGGUACGUAAAGUUCUUUUAUUAGGGAAGAAUAAAUGAUGGAAAAAUCAUUCUGACGGUACCUAAUGAAUAAGCCCCGGCUAACUAUGUGCCAGCAGCCGCGGUAAUACAUAGGGGGCAAGCGUUAUCCGGAAUUAUUGGGCGUAAAGGGUGCGUAGGCUGUUAAAUAAGUUUAUGGUCUAAGUGCAAUGCUCAACAUUGUGAUGCUAUAAAAACUGUUUAGCUAGAGUAAGAUAGAGGCAAGUGGAAUUCCAUGUGUAGUGGUAAAAUGCGUAAAUAUAUGGAGGAACACCAGUAGCGAAGGUGGCUUGCUGGGUCUUUACUGACGCUGAGGCACGAAAGCGUGGGGAGCAAACAGGAUUAGAUACCCUGAUAGUCCACGCCGUAAACGAUGAGUACUAAACGUUGGGUAAAACCAGUGUUGAAGUUAACACAUUAAGUACUCCGCCUGAGUAGUACGUACGCAAGUAUGAAACUUAAAGGAAUUGACGGGACUCCGCACAAGCGGUGGAUCAUGUUGUUUAAUUCGAAGGUACCCGAAAAACCUCACCAGGUCUUGACAUGCUUCUGCAAAGCUGUAGAAACACAGUGGAGGUUAUCAGUUGCACAGGUGGUGCAUGGUUGUCGUCAGCUCGUGUCGUGAGAUGUUGGGUUAAGUCCCGCAACGAGCGCAACCCUUAUUGUUAGUUGCCAGCACGUAAUGGUGGGGACUUUAGCAAGACUGCCAGUGAUAAAUUGGAGGAAGGUGGGGACGACGUCAAAUCAUCAUGCCCCUUAUGACCUGGGCUACAAACGUGAUACAAUGGCUGUUACAAAGGGUAGCUGAAACGCAAGUUUUUGGCGAAUCUCAAAAAAACAGUCUCAGUUCGGAUUG
Molecule: ribosomal RNA, 1097 nt
Filed under: Petunia flat stem phytoplasma
Lineage: Bacteria; Bacillati; Mycoplasmatota; Mollicutes; Acholeplasmatales; Acholeplasmataceae
Description: bacterial SSU rRNA
Rfam family: Bacterial small subunit ribosomal RNA
Source: RNAcentral